AUUGAACGCUGGCGGCAGGCCUAACACAUGCAAGUCGAGCGGAUGAAGGGAGCUUGCUCCUGGAUUCAGCGGCGGACGGGUGAGUAAUGCCUAGGAAUCUGCCUGGUAGUGGGGGAUAACGUCCGGACACGGGCGCUAAUACCGCAUACGUCCUGAGGGAGAAAGUGGGGGAUCUUCGGACCUCACGCUAUCAGAUGAGCCUAGGUCGGAUUAGCUAGUUGGUGGGGUAAAGGCCUACCAAGGCGACGAUCCGUAACUGGUCUGAGAGGAUGAUCAGUCACACUGGAACUGAGACACGGUCCAGACUCCUACGGGAGGCAGCAGUGGGGAAUAUUGGACAAUGGGCGAAAGCCUGAUCCAGCCAUGCCGCGUGUGUGAAGAAGGUCUUCGGAUUGUAAAGCACUUUAAGUUGGGAGGAAGGGCAGUAAGUCAAUACCUUGCUGUUUUGACGUUACCAACAGAAUAAGCACCGGCUAACUUCGUG
RNAcentral lists this ribosomal RNA (484 nucleotides) under uncultured bacterium. RNAcentral describes it as "partial 16S ribosomal RNA". It matches the Rfam family "Bacterial small subunit ribosomal RNA", at positions 30 to 507 of the family's 1533-position model. The record is from RNAcentral.